AGGAAUAUUGGUCAAUGGGCGAGAGCCUGAACCAGCCAAGUAGCGUGCAGGAUGACGGCCCUAUGGGUUGUAAACUGCUUUUAUAAGGGAAUAAAGUUAGUCUCGUGAGACUUUUUGCAUGUACCUUAUGAAUAAGGACCGGCUAAUUCCGUGCCAGCAGCCGCGGUAAUACGGAAGGUCCGGGCGUUAUCCGGAUUUAUUGGGUUUAAAGGGAGCGUAGGCCGGAGAUUAAGCGUGUUGUGAAAUGUAGACGCUCAACGUCUGCACUGCAGCGCGAACUGGUUUCCUUGAGUACGCACAAAGUGGGCGGAAUUCGUGGUGUAGCGGUGAAAUGCUUAGAUAUCACGAAGAACUCCGAUUGCGAAGGCAGCUCACUGGAGCGCAACUAACGCUGAAGCUCGAAAGUGCGGGUAUCGAACAGGAUUAGAUACCCUGGUAGUCCGCACGGUAAACGAUGGAUGCCCGCUGUUGGUCUGAACAGGUCAGCGGCCAAGCGAAAGCAUUAAGCAUCCCACCUGGGGAGUACGCCGGCAACGGUGAAACUCAAAGGAAUUGACGGGGGCCCGCACAAGCGGAGGAACAUGUGGUUUAAUUCGAUGAUACGCGAGGAACCUUACCCGGGCUUGAAUUGCAGAGGAAGGAUUUGGAGACAAUGACGCCCUUCGGGGCCUCUGUGAAGGUGCUGCAUGGUUGUCGUCAGCUCGUGCCGUGAGGUGUCGGCUUAAGUGCCAUAACGAGCGCAACCCCUCUCCUUAGUUGCCAUCAGGUUAAGCUGGGCACUCUGGGGACACUGCCACCGUAAGGUGUGAGGAAGGUGGGGAUGACGUCAAAUCAGCACGGCCCUUACGUCCGGGGCUACACACGUGUUACAAUGGCAGGUACAGAGAGACGGUCCCUUGCAAAAUGGAUCAAAUCCUUAAAGCCUGUCUCAGUUCGGACUGGGGUCUGCAACCCGACCCCACGAAGCUGGAUUCGCUAGUAAUCGCGCAUCAGCCAUGGCGCGGUGAAUACGUUCCCG
This 1018-nucleotide ribosomal RNA is filed under the name uncultured bacterium. Its description in RNAcentral is "bacterial SSU rRNA". It matches the Rfam family "Bacterial small subunit ribosomal RNA", at positions 357 to 1376 of the family's 1533-position model. The record is from RNAcentral.